This 581-nucleotide ribosomal RNA is filed under the name uncultured bacterium. Its description in RNAcentral is "bacterial SSU rRNA". It matches the Rfam family "Bacterial small subunit ribosomal RNA", at positions 338 to 916 of the family's 1533-position model. The record is from RNAcentral.
CCUACGGGAGGCAGCAGUAAGGAAUAUUGGUCAAUGGAGGCAACUCUGAACCAGCCAUGCCGCGUGCAGGAUGAAGGCCCUAUGGGUCGUAAACUGCUUUUGUACCAGAGAAAACCCGAGUACGUGUACUCGGUUGAUAGUAUGGUAAGAAUAAGCAUCGGCUAACUUCGUGCCAGCAGCCGCGGUAAGACGAAGGAUGCAAGCGUUAUCCGGAUUCAUUGGGUUUAAAGGGUGCGUAGGCGGACUGAUAAGUCAGUGGUGAAAUCUCUCGGCUUAACCGAGAAACUGCCAUUGAUACUGUCAGUCUAGAGUACAGAUGAUGUGGGCGGAAUAUGACAUGUAGCGGUGAAAUGCUUAGAUAUGUCAUAGAACACCGAUUGCGAAGGCAGCUCACAAAACUGUAACUGACGCUGAGGCACGAAAGUGCGGGGAUCAAACAGGAUUAGAUACCCUGGUAGUCCGCACCGUAAACGAUGAUUACUCGUUGUUGGCAAUAUGACCGUCAGCGACCAAGCGAAAGCGAUAAGUUAAUUCCACCUUGGGGAGUACGCCGGCACGGUGAAACUUCAAAGGAUUGACGG